RNAcentral lists this non-coding RNA (87 nucleotides) under Pseudomonas psychrophila. Lineage: Bacteria; Pseudomonadati; Pseudomonadota; Gammaproteobacteria; Pseudomonadales; Pseudomonadaceae. The record is from RNAcentral.
UGUGGGAGCGGGCUUGCUCGCGAUGCAAGCGACUCGGUCUAUCUGUUACACCUUGUCGAUCCAAUCGCGAGCAAGCCCGCUCCCACA